Molecule: transfer RNA, 64 nt
Filed under: Anthaxia sp. ANT01
Lineage: Eukaryota; Metazoa; Arthropoda; Insecta; Coleoptera; Buprestidae
Description: tRNA-His
Source: RNAcentral
AUUUAAGUAGUUUAAAAAAAAAUUUUGAUUUGUGGGAUCAGAGAUAUAAGUGUUAUCUUAAAUA